This 190-nucleotide antisense RNA is filed under the name Shigella boydii Sb227. RNAcentral's name for it is "sok antitoxin (CssrC)". It matches the Rfam family "sok antitoxin (CssrC)". Rfam says of the family: Also identified in Shigella as CssrC. The record is from Rfam by way of RNAcentral. Lineage: Bacteria; Pseudomonadati; Pseudomonadota; Gammaproteobacteria; Enterobacterales; Enterobacteriaceae.
GGGUGCUUGAGGCUAUCUGCUUCAGGCUAUCUGCUUCAGGCAUGAACACCAAAAGGCAGAUAGAGAAAAGCCCCAGUUAACAUUACGCGUCCGGCAAGACGCUUAACAUUAAUCUGAGGCCAAUUUCAUGCUUUGCACAUGUAGGUUAGCCUCUUACAUGCCGAAAGGCAAGGAGAAGCAGGCUAUGAAG